RNAcentral lists this ribosomal RNA (589 nucleotides) under uncultured bacterium. RNAcentral describes it as "bacterial SSU rRNA". It matches the Rfam family "Bacterial small subunit ribosomal RNA", at positions 338 to 916 of the family's 1533-position model. The record is from RNAcentral.
CCUACGGGAGGCAGCAGUGGGGAAUUUUGGACAAUGGGGGAAACCCUGAUCCAGCCAUGCCGCGUGCAGGAUGAAGGCCUUCGGGUUGUAAACUGCUUCUGUACGGAACGAAAAGUCUCUUCCUAAUACGAAGGGGUGAUGACGGUACCGUAAGAAUAAGCACCGGCUAACUACGUGCCAGCAGCCGCGGUAAUACGUAGGGUGCAAGCSUUAAUCGGAAUUACUGGGCGUAAAGCGUGCGCAGGCGGUUAUGUAAGACAGAGGUGAAAUCCCCGGGCUCAACCUGGGAACUGCCUUUGUGACUGCAUAGCUGGAGUACGGCAGAGGGGGAUGGAAUUCCGCGUGUAGCAAGUGAAAUGCGUAGAUAUGCGGAGGAACACCGAUGGCGAAGGCAAUCCCCUGGGCCUGUACUGACGCUCAUGCACGAAAGCGUGGGGGAGCAAACAGGAUUAGAUACCCUGGUAGUCCACGCCCUAAACGAAUGUCAACUGGUUGUUGGGUCCUUAACUGACUCAGUAACGAAGCUAACGCGUGAAGUUGACCGCCUGGGGAGUACGGCCGCAAGGUUGAAACUCAAAGGAAUUGACGG